AGUGAACGCUGGCGGUAGGCCUAACACAUGCAAGUCGAACGGCAGCACAGUAAGAGCUUGCUCUUACGGGUGGCGAGUGGCGGACGGGUGAGGAAUACAUCGGAAUCUACUUUUUCGUGGGGGAUAACGUAGGGAAACUUACGCUAAUACCGCAUACGACCUACGGGUGAAAGCAGGGGAUCUUCGGACCUUGCGCGAUUGAAUGAGCCGAUGUCGGAUUAGCUAGUUGGCGGGGUAAAGGCCCACCAAGGCGACGAUCCGUAGCUGGUCUGAGAGGAUGAUCAGCCACACUGGAACGGGGACACGGUCCAGACGCCUACGGGAGGCAGCAGUGGGGAAUGUUGGACAAUGGGCGCAAGCCUGAUCCAGCCAUACCGCGUGGGUUGAGAAGGCCUUCGGUUUGUAAAGCCCUUUUGUUGGGAAAGAAAAGCAGCAGGUUAAUACCCCGCUGUUCUGACGGUACCCAAAGAAUAAGCACCGGCUAACUUCGUG
RNAcentral lists this ribosomal RNA (492 nucleotides) under uncultured bacterium. RNAcentral's name for it is "partial 16S ribosomal RNA". It matches the Rfam family "Bacterial small subunit ribosomal RNA", at positions 29 to 507 of the family's 1533-position model. The record is from RNAcentral.